AUUGAACGCUGGCGGCAGGCCUAACACAUGCAAGUCGAACGGUAACAGGAAGAAGCUUGCUUCUUUGCUGACGAGUGGCGGACGGGUGAGUAAUGUCUGGGAAACUGCCUGAUGGAGGGGGAUAACUACUGGAAACGGUAGCUAAUACCGCAUAAUGUCGCAAGACCAAAGAGGGGGACCUUCGGGCCUCUUGCCAUCGGAUGUGCCCAGAUGGGAUUAGCUAGUAGGUGGGGUAACGGCUCACCUAGGCGACGAUCCCUAGCUGGUCUGAGAGGAUGACCAGCCACACUGGAACUGAGACACGGUCCAGACUCCUACGGGAGGCAGCAGUGGGGAAUAUUGCACAAUGGGCGCAAGCCUGAUGCAGCUAUGCCGCGUGUAUGAAGAAGGCCUUCGGGUUGUAAAGUACUUUCAGCGGGGAGGAAGGGAGUAAAGUUAAUACCUUUGCUCAUUGACGCUACCCGCAGAAGAAGCACCGGCUAACUCCGUG
This 490-nucleotide ribosomal RNA is filed under the name uncultured bacterium. RNAcentral describes it as "partial 16S ribosomal RNA". It matches the Rfam family "Bacterial small subunit ribosomal RNA", at positions 30 to 507 of the family's 1533-position model. The record is from RNAcentral.